GGCCCGCUGGCCUAAUGGUAAGGCGUCAGAUUUCGGUGAUCGAAAAAUACUCUGAAGAUUGUGCGUUCGAGCCGCACGUGGGUCG
Cladorrhinum sp. PSN332 is the source of this 85-nucleotide non-coding RNA. Lineage: Eukaryota; Fungi; Ascomycota; Sordariomycetes; Sordariales; Podosporaceae. The record is from the annotation of a GenBank genome assembly.